ACGGCUCAGUAACACGUGGACAACCUGCCCAAAGGUCCGGGAUAACCCCGGGAAACUGGGGAUAAUACCGGAUAAAUCACAGGUACUGGAAGGUCUUGUGGUUGAAACUUCCGGGGCCUUUGGAUGGGUCUGCGGCGGAUUAGGUUGUUGCCGGUGUAACGUACCGUCAAGCCUGUAAUCCGUACGGGUUGUGGGAGCAAGAGCCCGGAGAUGGAUUCUGAGACACGAAUCCAGGCCCUACGGGGCGCAGCAGGCGCGAAAACCCUACAAUGCAGGCAACUGCGAUAGGGGAACAUCGAGUGAUACUCAUAUUGGGUGUCUGUCCCACCGUCUAAAAAACGGUGGUUAGCAAGGGCCGGGCAAGACCGGUGCCAGCCGCCGCGGUAAUACCGGCGGCUCGAGUGGUGGCCGAUAUUAUUGAGUCUAAAGGGUCCGUAGCCGGCUUUGCAAGUCUUUUGGGAAAUCCAGCGGCUUAACCGUUGGUCGUCCGGGAGAUACUACAUUGCUUGGGACUGGGAAAGGUAGGAGGUACUCAGGGGGUAGGAGUGAAAUCCUGUAAUCCUUUGGGGACCACCGGUGGCGAAGGCGUCCUACCAGAACAGGUCCGACGGUGAGGGACGAAAGCUAGGGGCACGAACCGGAUUAGAUACCCGGGUAGUCCUAGCCGUAAACGAUGCUCGCUAGGUGUCACAACAAUCGUGAAUUGUUGUGGUGCCGUAGGGAAGCCGUGAAGCGAGCCACUUGGGAAGUACGACCGCAAGGUUGAAACUUAAAGGAAUUGGCGGGGGAGCACA
Molecule: ribosomal RNA, 794 nt
Filed under: uncultured Methanocellaceae archaeon
Lineage: Archaea; Methanobacteriati; Methanobacteriota; Methanomicrobia; Methanocellales; Methanocellaceae
Description: bacterial SSU rRNA
Rfam family: Archaeal small subunit ribosomal RNA
Source: RNAcentral